GAGGAUUCGAGCAGUAAAUAGUGAGCUCUUGUACAGUCAUCGGCACUUCCAUCCAUUUUCCCUUUGUUGGUUUUGGGUUGGGGAGACUUGUUUCGCUGUUAAUGAACAGACAAGCGUCCCAUGGAAUCAAAAAGAAAUAAUCAUUAGGAUGGAUAUUCUCUUGGAUCUAAGUAAUGAGUAAUGAGAAAGCCUCACCUUUUUCUAUUACUUAGCAUUUAAAACCGAUCAGUUUUACCCGAGGGCCGCCCAUCGGAACAUCUGUGGGAUGGGAAGCAUUGAAUUCUUGUUGUGAAAAGGCUAUCCCGGCCAGAGAGAGAGAGAAGAGAGAGACGUUCCCCCAUGGUAGCAUAUUUGUGCUUGGUGAUGUAACGUAACAGUGAGCAGCUUGUGAUUAUUUUAGCCGCUGGAUGGUAGACUUUUUGGGCACUGAACAUACGGAAGAUUCGGUAUCGCAGAGAGUACCUUUUGUCAGGCAAGCAUCUUCUGCUAAUCUGAUCUCUGUUCUUCCGUUAAUUAAUAUAUUUUGUUGCCUCUCUCCUCACGUGAGGUACGACGACAGACGCCCC
This 566-nucleotide long non-coding RNA is filed under the name Elaeis guineensis (African oil palm). Its description in RNAcentral is "long non-coding RNA (EGUI_LNC015865)". Lineage: Eukaryota; Viridiplantae; Streptophyta; Magnoliopsida; Arecales; Arecaceae. The record is from RNAcentral.